GUGCGUCCAAAUGUUUUGAUGCCUUGACCCCAACAUCUUUCAGGUGAUUCGUCCCUGGGGGUAAGCACAAGUGUGCUGGGUGAUAUCAACUAGAAAGCUGAUAAGUGGGUGCUCUGAAACCACAAUUUAUUUUUUGGAAUGAAAUGGGGAACAUUAACAGCUUAUUUCAUUUUACACCUUUCACUGCAGAGGGGUCCCCGUCAGCACUCUGAGUUCUGCCCACCUUCUCUUUGAGUCCAUCUACCAUGACCUACCUUGGCGUGAGGCAUUUUAUUUCAGGAAAAGGAAUAAAUACAGUUACAUGGGCAGUGAGCGUUUCUUCAAAGCUUUGCUUGGCCAAGCCAUGCCACGAUCCCACCACAGCAGCUAAUGACCAAUCAUACCGUGUGCUCUAUACACCAAUACUAUUCCAUCAUUUGGAUUUCAUGGACUGGUAAAAUUAGAGGGGAACAAUGCUGAGGACUAACAGAGUGGCCAAAUACAUAUUUGUCUUAUAAGGACAUUUAAAAACUUCAUGCGUUAGUACCUUAAUUGGAAAACAAAAACCUGAAAAAAUUAUUAGACAUAACCUCAGGAGUUUCAAAACAGAGUAAGUUUAAAUUUACAGAAUACUCACUACACUUUCUUAUCUGCCUGACUCUCUGUACAAGGAUUCAGUUGCUGGCGGGGACAGAGAGCAACAUGUCCCAGGGAAGCUGAGGAAGAACGUGGAUGGAAAACAGACUGCUUCUGGCGAUGUGAACCUUCCCUUACCUUAGGAAGAAGGUGCUGGGUGAGCUGGCUCCUAGCUCCUGCCUUCUCCCACUUCCCAGCUUGCUGCAGCCCUCUGGUGACAGUCAGACAAUGAUAUGGAAGGAUUCCUGACUAAUUCGGAUGGACGUGAGCUGAACCUUCCCUGCUUCUGGCCAACCUCUUGACUAUAUAUAUAUAUAUAAAGAAUUGCAAUAUAUAUAUAUAUAUAUUAGAUAUAUAUAUUAGAUCUAAUAUAUAUAAUUUUGCAAUCCAUUUAUUUGUCUCUGUAUUCACUCCCAUCCCCAAAUUAUUUUCAUGGUGGAGAAACAAACUUUGUGCCCCUUCUUCAACUGCAAAACCUUGCUCUGCCCUCCCUUCAGUUGCACUGCUUCUCUUAGUCUGUGCAGGAAAUCGAAGCCUCGUGCCCUCGGACUCAAGGCUCUCCCAGACCUCCAUCCCUCCCACUCGUGCUGUCUGUCCUAGCUUCCUGUUGCCUGUCUCCUCCCUCUCCAGGCCGACAGAGGUUUCUCAAGACAUUCUGAAGGCUCCCAAAUCUGCCACUCCCCAGUCUUCUCCCUCUCCCUCCUUUUGCUGACACGUUCCUCCAUAGAGCAGUCUACACUUAACUUCUCUUCUUUCUCACCUCCACCCAUUCUCUUUGGUUUGCCCUCUGCAAUCCUUCCUCCAUAGCCGAACACACACUACUAUAGCUGUCCCAUCUGGGGUCAUAAUGACCUCCCAAUUGCCGCAACCAAGAGCUUGUUGUAAGUCCUCCAUUCAAACUAUCUAAAUAGGAGGACGUGGAGGUCCAUAGUUCAAGAUUUACCUCCACUGGCUUUAGAGAUAAUUCAGUUGCAGUCCAAAAAGAUUACUUACCGGCGGAACUGAGAUGUGGCCCCAGCCUUCUGUUAACCAUGUUGAUGUUCUUUCUCCUAAAGACCACCACCUGCCUUGACCUUCCCUGUAACACCUGACCCUGUUGACUCUACACUCCUUCUUAACUCUUCCCUGGUCCUUUCAUAGUAUACAUUCCUCAUCUACCCAGAUCCCUCUGGUAAUGCCUGCUAGCUCCUUUUCCUCUUGCAUUCUACAUAAAUAUAGAUAUGCCCUAAAUAUCAUAGCUUUUCCAGUAGUAAGGAUCAUAUCUAGCACACACAUUUUCUUCUUCCCACCUCUCUUCUGUCUCCAUAUACUGCCAGUGGGAGUUCAACCUAUUAGAAAUGCCCUCUGACAACCAAAAACAUCCUUCUCUUUCAUCACCCGUAAAUAAGCACCUACCAUGUGAGAUUCAGCACAGGAGGGGAAUCUGGGAUCAGACUGCCUAAUUUCAAAUCCCAGCUCAGCUUCUUUAGCACAUGCCAUUGUGACCUGGCAAGAUUCUUCCCAAGUCUUCAUUUUUUCUUCUAACCACCUACGAUUGUUGUGAAGACUAAUGAGAAAUUACUCAUACAGAGUUACUCAGUGAAGUGGCUGGCUUGCAGCAUUAAUGGUAAAUGCUCAGUAGAUUUUAGUUUUCUUCCUUUCUUUUUUACAUUUUCACUUUUAAUGUUUGCUAGGGAUGAUGCUGAACCCUAGUUCCAUCCCUUGUAUAGCUCAGCGUCUGGUGUAAUUAAACUUUAGAUGUGCCACAGCAGCUGUCUGCAGAGUAGAUGGGGAGAAAGGAGUGAAGAGUUAAUUCUACUUAGGGCAUCAGAAAAACCUUCAUUUGAAGAGCUAAACACUAAUCUCAAUCUUGUUUUUUUUUCCUGGGGACUAAGCUGCUAUACAGACCACAUGUAAACUUUAUUUAAUAGAAGCUUCACAAGUGAGCAAUAUCAUGGCAAGAAAAAAACAUUUAGAACAGAAUUGUUCAGACAUUGGGGUGCAUUUAGCUACUAGGGUGGGCAAGAAACAUAGGCCAGAAUAAUUUGUGGCUACCCCUGAGGAUAUUCACAGUAUGUAACACCUCAAGCCAGAGAAGCCAUGGAAACACCUGGUGUGAUACAUCUGUACUUGUGGCACGAAAGUCAGGACAGGCACCUUUUAUAUUUAAAACCAGUCACCAUGACUACCACAACCCAGUUUCUCAUGCUACCACAAACCUUCUAUUUCUCACUGCAAUGUGGUGUGUGGCAUGGUUGGAGUCACAAGACUGAUUUUCAUGGGACUUUGAACCUCUGAUUCUUAUGUUUCUUUGAGUUUCAUUUUAAGCCUGGUCUUUGCAGAGAAAGGGGGAAGAAAUCACAGAUAAUUAAAGCAUAAAAUAUUCUCAUUUCAUGGUGGGGCUAACAAGUGAAACUACAAGUAAUGAUGUAAUCCAACUUGUCAAAAAGGGAAAUGAAAAGAGGAGACAGAAGGCAGGACAGAGCCUUGGGACCCAGCGUGCCAUGUCAUCUUCUAAUUAACUAACUGAUCCUUUAAACUGUCAAACUCGGCGAGGAACUCCAUGGCCUGGCAUCUGAUUAAUAUUCAUAUUCGGGCACUGGAUGCUCU
Molecule: long non-coding RNA, 3204 nt
Filed under: Homo sapiens (human)
Lineage: Eukaryota; Metazoa; Chordata; Mammalia; Primates; Hominidae
Description: HSALNT0056225
Source: RNAcentral